CUGAAAAUGGGAGCAUAGAGGUGAUGUCCUAUCCCCAAUUAGUGAGCUUUUGUGAACAGAUGGACUCAGAAGGGCUCCACAAAUUUAUAUCAGAUAACCGAAAGAACCUUGCUGCAAUUAGGGAGGAGAUUCCACUUGCAUUUAGAGCUGCGGCCAACCCUGCCCUCUUUGUUUUGGAAUCAUUGGAAGACUUUUACCGCUUGGAGGGUCCUGCUAUGGAUGUGAAGAAAGAUUCCAACCUGUUGGGUAUCCGUCGAACCUGCAUAAUGUUGAUGGAGUGUCUGAGCAUAUUGCUGGCAAACCCAGAGAUGGUCUCUGCUUCUGAUAUUAUUACAGAGGAGGUUAAGGAUAUGGCAGAGACGAUUGCUGAAGAAUGGAAACCAAAGUUAGAUGCUCUUGACAUGGAUGCUAGCAAUGGGAACUCCUUAGAGGCCCAUGCCUUUUUGCAGCUUCUUGCUACUUUCGGUAUUGCUUCUGGUUUUGAUGAGGAAGAAUUGUUCAGGCUAAUACCGAUGGUUUCACGUCGUCGCCAAACAGCUGACCUUUGUCGUUCGCUUGGACUGACCGAGAGAAUGCCAGGUUUGUUUUUUAUUUUCUGAAGAAUGAAGACUUUCCUUUUUAGAUGAAAACUAUACUGAUGUUAAUUGAACCAUGCUGUUUGUUUCAAACUAAUUUGGAUAUUCUGUAUUAAUCAUGUGCUUUAUCACGCAUGCUUUAUUAAUAAAUUUGGAGUUACGUAUUUGUUGCUCCUUGUCUGUUUAAAGCUUAAACCUAUCGUAAGCACUGAAAUAAGGGUCCGAUUGAAAAUAUAAAGUAUACACUGACCAAUCUGAUAAAUCGCCCAGCUUGGAAUAUCUUGUUAUCUAAGAAAUUCUUUUGUAUAACGGGUUCUUGCAUUUCUUUCAAUUUAUUGCAUACAAGUUUGGCAAAAUCAAACACUAAUCUCCUGGUAUUAACUGGGUAGGUGGUGUGAUAUUCAUAUGAAUGUAUGCUUGGAUACAUGGAGAAAUAAAAGCUGGAUUUUUUUCUUCUUGCAUGAUUAUACUUCCUCUAGUUGCUUGUGUUCAUAGUUUUUUGUUUAAUUGGUAUAUUACAGGUGUUAUUGAAGUAUUAGUGAACAGUGGAAGACAAAUUGAUGCAGUCAACUUGGCUUUUGCAUUUGAACUGACAGAGCAGUUCUCUCCAGUGCCUUUACUAAAGUCCUACUUGAAGGAGGCAAGAAAAGCUUCUUCACCGGUCAAACCUGGGAAUGUGUCUCCUACUGCACAGGUGUGUUUCUUACUCUUAUAUACUCUUAAGUAAUUUCUAUGUUGCAUUUAGUAGUUGUGACUAAGAGGAAAGGUAUGGGAAAACGAAGCCCCAUUACGAUGAUAUAGAACUGAUUAUUGUUUCAUCAUUAUUGUUACAUCAGUGUCAUAUGAAGUUGAAUUACCUGCCACUAUCUAAUUAUAAUCUGGUAUAGCACUGAUGCUUGAUAAGUAUGCGGUUUGUAAAUGCAAAUGUAUACAUAAUGAUACAUCAUUGUUUCAGAAUGAGGUGAAUGAUAGAGAGCUGACUGCUCUCAAGGCGGUGAUCAAGUCUAUUGAGGAGCAUAAGCUUGAAGAGCAGUAUCCAGUGGAUCCACUACAAAGACGGAUUCUUCAGCUGGAAAAGGCCAAGGCAGACAAGAAGAGGGUGACUGAAGCUGCAAAGCCUCAACCCAAGAGACCUCGUGCUAAUGGUGUUGGAUAUGGCCCCCGGGUCACUAAUGUUGUUGCAGAGAAGACUUUCUAUCCUAGAGUCGCUGAUAAUAGGUACCCACAGUACGUUUAUGACCGACAGUUUGUUUACCCUGGACCUGCUGACAACCACUGCCCACCUCUUCUGGGUUCUGCUACUUACAACAUGCCCCCUGCUCAUG
Molecule: long non-coding RNA, 1900 nt
Filed under: Fragaria vesca (wild strawberry)
Lineage: Eukaryota; Viridiplantae; Streptophyta; Magnoliopsida; Rosales; Rosaceae
Description: long non-coding RNA (FVES_LNC000600)
Source: RNAcentral